This 801-nucleotide ribosomal RNA is filed under the name uncultured bacterium. RNAcentral's name for it is "bacterial SSU rRNA". It matches the Rfam family "Bacterial small subunit ribosomal RNA", at positions 74 to 855 of the family's 1533-position model. The record is from RNAcentral.
CUUCGGUAAUGACGUUGGGGAAGCGAGCGGCGGAUGGGUGAGUAACGCGUGGGGAACCUGCCCCUAAGUCUGGGAUACCAUUUGGAAACAGGUGCUAAUACCGGAUAAUAAAGCAGAUCGCAUGAUCAGCUUUUGAAAGGCGGCGUAAGCUGUCGCUAAGGGAUGGCCCCGCGGUGCAUUAGCUAGUUGGUAAGGUAACGGCUUACCAAGGCGACGAUGCAUAGCCGAGUUGAGAGACUGAUCGGCCACAUUGGGACUGAGACACGGCCCAAACUCCUACGGGAGGCAGCAGUAGGGAAUCUUCCACAAUGGACGCAAGUCUGAUGGAGCAACGCCGCGUGAGUGAAGAAGGUUUUCGGAUCGUAAAGCUCUGUUGUUGGUGAAGAAGGAUAGAGGUAGUAACUGGCCUUUAUUUGACGGUAAUCAACCAGAAAGUCACGGCUAACUACGUGCCAGCAGCCGCGGUAAUACGUAGGUGGCAAGCGUUGUCCGGAUUUAUUGGGCGUAAAGCGAGCGCAGGCGGAAAAAUAAGUCUAAUGUGAAAGCCCUCGGCUUAACCGAGGAACUGCAUCGGAAACUGUUUUUCUUGAGUGCAGAAGAGGAGAGUGGAACUCCAUGUGUAGCGGUGGAAUGCGUAGAUAUAUGGAAGAACACCAGUGGCGAAGGCGGCUCUCUGGUCUGCAACUGACGCUGAGGCUCGAAAGCAUGGGUAGCGAACAGGAUUAGAUACCCUGGUAGUCCAUGCCGUAAACGAUGAGUGCUAAGUGUUGGGAGGUUUCCGCCUCUCAGUGCUGCAGCUAA